This 802-nucleotide unclassified non-coding RNA is filed under the name Hevea brasiliensis (rubber tree). The record is from RNAcentral. Lineage: Eukaryota; Viridiplantae; Streptophyta; Magnoliopsida; Malpighiales; Euphorbiaceae.
AGUUGGUCCUCUCUUCAACCACCCACAUACAUACAAGCCUUUCUCGACUAGUGCAUCUUCAGAAGCUUCACUUAAAACACGUCCCUGAACAUUUGGAACAAUACCUUUACGGUGAUCAAAAGGCAAGCCAGCAACAGGUAUCGACUUGUAACCAACACUCUUCAAUACCAGCCCGCAUUCCAUUUCUUCAAAAAGUCCAGUACCAACAGCAAUUUGUUUCCCAGAUCCAACAUCUUCUUUAAGAAUUGUCCUCUCCAUCCGCAAACCACCAACAUGACCACUUCUACAAUCUGAUUCCAGGAACCUGUCUGGUUUCCUGAAGAAAACAAAGUGCAGUUCUUUUUGACCUGGAUUGCAUUCGGAAGUUGCAGGAGUGGCUGCCUUAGAGAGCAGUUCAUGAAUUCUCCUUUUAAUCCGGUUAUUCUUUAGUUCUCAUCUACUGGGGUUUUACUUAAAUCCGCUUGCCGAAUUCCAACGGAUAGGUCCUUGAUACCAGCAAUCUUAGACAGACAAAAUAUCCACGAACUCACGUAGAACUUCACGCAGUUCUUUUGCCGUGAAGGCUGCUUGUGCUGCUCCACGUCUUCCAACCAAAUACACUUUUCUAAUGGAGCUCUCGCUUAAAGCUGCCAAAGCAUGGCAGGAGAUAUCAGUUGUUGCCAAUUCACUAGUUGGUCGUAAAAGGAUCCGCGCCACAUCAAGAGCUACAUUUCCCUGACCAAUAAUAACAGCAGUAUCGGAGCUCUUCAAAUCUGGUGCCAGAUUUCGGCAGUCUGGAUGGCCAUUAUACCACCAAACAAAU